GCAGCGGUGGCCGAGUGGUUAAGGCGAUUGACUAGAAAUCAAUUGGGCUCUGCCCGCACAGGUUCGAAUCCUGUCCGCUGCG
Molecule: non-coding RNA, 82 nt
Organism: Trichuris muris
Lineage: Eukaryota; Metazoa; Nematoda; Enoplea; Trichinellida; Trichuridae
Source: Rfam